Poecilia latipinna (sailfin molly) is the source of this 957-nucleotide long non-coding RNA. RefSeq lists it as uncharacterized. Lineage: Eukaryota; Metazoa; Chordata; Actinopteri; Cyprinodontiformes; Poeciliidae. The record is from RefSeq and is a predicted model, not a curated record. The transcript is spliced from 2 exons.
UUUAAACAAUUGUUUUGUCUGAAAAUUUCAUCGGUCAACUUUGACCACGGAACCACGUGAUGUAGAAACCCAGCAAUGACCUCUCCUGUUAGCUAGCGGUGGAAAGCCCAGAGAACUUUAUGCUGACAUUUCCACACUGGACGUACCCAACACAAUGGAUCAGAACAAGCAAGAUGAGGAAUAUGGAUAUGACCUCUUCCCGGAGAGAAAAGCGAGGAAACCCAAGCACAUCACAAUCAGAGACAACCUGUUCACAUCCAGAAACAAGUGUCAGGUCAUGUUAACGUUCGCCAUGGAAAUUAGUCCAUAUGCCAAACUCCUGCUCAAUGCCAUGAAGAACUCCGGCUGGUACGUUGGCCUACACGGCUGUCUAUAACCGGAAACGACAUGUUAACGUCAACUGUAACAUAGAUAGGAUGCAAAAUACAAAAGUUACUUCUACUGCUUUUUUUUUACUAAACAAUAUUUAAAUCAUCAGUGAACGUUCAGUCACAUUUGCUUCUACGAAUGUAAUUAUUGUAUAAUGCCGAUGUGUAUUUCCGAAAAGUCACUAAAUAUAGCAAUAAUGUUGCUAAGUUGGCAAUAGUGGGAUGACUAAUGUUAAACGCACGUGCAGACUGACCCAGAUAUUACUUCCACUAUAUUUCACAAAUACCAAAUUUUCCCCCAGAAAACUUGCUGAGCGCGGUGGUUGGGUGCUAAGGCAGUCAUUCAUUCAGUGGCCCGUCGUGGUUUUGAGUUAAAAAAAUGUUGACAAGAAAUUUUAAAAUAUCACUUGAUAAUUAUGUGCUAUUAAACGAUUGGAUGAUUAAUACCUGGACACCAACUACAAAAGUCUUUAAAAAAAUCAAACCUUUUUGAAAAAGACUUUAAAAAAUAAGUAAAGCCUGAUGGGCCACUAGGCUUAAAAUACUGGAAGGGAAAACCUGAAUAUGAUACAUUUUUGGUUAAUGUUUU